AAACUGGAAGAUGAGGAGAUAGCGUCCUACAUCCUCGCAGGGCUUGACAUGGAUUUUAAUCCUGUCGUGUCCUCCAUCUCUGCACGCGUCGAGCCAUUGACGCUUGCUGAGCUCUAACCCAGCUUGUGAGCUGGGA
This 136-nucleotide small nucleolar RNA is filed under the name Sorghum bicolor (sorghum). RNAcentral's name for it is "Small nucleolar RNA Z247". It matches the Rfam family "Small nucleolar RNA Z247". Rfam says of the family: Z247 is a member of the C/D class of snoRNA which contain the C (UGAUGA) and D (CUGA) box motifs. Most of the members of the box C/D family function in directing site-specific 2'-O-methylation of substrate RNAs. Lineage: Eukaryota; Viridiplantae; Streptophyta; Magnoliopsida; Poales; Poaceae. The record is from Rfam by way of RNAcentral.